GACGAACGCUGGCGGCGUGCUUAACACAUGCAAGUCGAACGGAAAGGCCUGCUUUCCCUUGUGGAUUGCGGGUGCUCGAGUGGCGAACGGGUGAGUAACACGUGAGUGAUCUGCCCCCAACUUGGGUAUAAGCCUGGGAAACUGGGUCUAAUUCCCGAUAGGACUGCAGGGUGGUGCCUGUGGUGGAAAACGAUUUUCUAGUGGUUGGGGAUGAGCUCGCGGCCUAUCAGCUUGUUGGUGGGGUAAUGGCCUACCAAGGCGGCGACGGGUAGCCGGCCUGAGAGGGUGGACGGCCACAUUGGGACUGAGAUACGGCCCAGACUCCUACGGGAGGCAGCAGUGGGGAAUAUUGCACAAUGGGCGGAAGCCUGAUGCGGCGACGCCGCGUGGGGAAUGACGGCCUUCGGGUUGUAAACUCCUUUCGACCGCGAGGAAGCCACCUGGUUGGAAGGGUGGUGACGGUAGUGGUAGAAGAAGCACCGGCUAACUACGUG
Molecule: ribosomal RNA, 494 nt
Filed under: uncultured bacterium
Lineage: Bacteria
Description: partial 16S ribosomal RNA
Rfam family: Bacterial small subunit ribosomal RNA
Source: RNAcentral